CCUAACACAUGCAAGUCGAACGGAGCUUACUUGAAGGAGACUACGGUCAACGGAAGGGUAAGCUUAGUGGCGGACGGGUGAGUAACGCGUGGAGAACCUGCCCUGUACAGGGGGAUAACAGUGAGAAAUCACUGCUAAUACCGCAUAAGCGCACAGUACCGCAUGGUACAGUGUGAAAAAACUCCGGUGGUACAGGAUGGCUCCGCGUUGGAUUAGCCAGUUGGAGGGGUAACGGCCCACCAAAGCGACGAUCCAUAGCCGGCCUGAGAGGGUGAACGGCCACAUUGGGACUGAGACACGGCCCAGACUCCUACGGGAGGCAGCAGUGGGGAAUAUUGCACAAUGGGGGAAACCCUGAUGCAGCCGACGCCGCGUGAGCGAAGAAGUAUUUCGGUAUGUAAAGCUCUAUCAGCAGGGAAGAUAAUGACGGUACCUGACUAAGAAGCACCGGCUAAAUACGUGCCAGCCGCCGC
Molecule: ribosomal RNA, 473 nt
Filed under: uncultured bacterium
Lineage: Bacteria
Description: bacterial SSU rRNA
Rfam family: Bacterial small subunit ribosomal RNA
Source: RNAcentral